This 618-nucleotide ribosomal RNA is filed under the name uncultured bacterium. RNAcentral's name for it is "bacterial SSU rRNA". It matches the Rfam family "Bacterial small subunit ribosomal RNA", at positions 67 to 731 of the family's 1533-position model. The record is from RNAcentral.
CGAAGCCUUCGGGCUUAGUGGCAGACGGGUGAGUAACGCGUGGGAACAUACCUUUCGGUACGGAACAACAGUUGGAAACGACUGCUAAUACCGUAUGCGCCCUAUGGGGGAAAGAUUUAUCGCCGAGAGAUUGGCCCGCGUUAGAUUAGCUAGUUGGUGGGGUAAUGGCCUACCAAGGCGACGAUCUAUAGCUGGUCUGAGAGGAUGAUCAGCCACACUGGGACUGAGACACGGCCCAGACUCCUACGGGAGGCAGCAGUGGGGAAUAUUGGACAAUGGGGGCAACCCUGAUCCAGCCAUGCCGCGUGAGUGAUGAAGGCCUUAGGGUUGUAAAGCUCUUUCAGCGAGGAGGAUAAUGACGUUACUCGCAGAAGAAGCCCCGGCUAACUUCGUGCCAGCAGCCGCGGUAAUACGAAGGGGGCUAGCGUUGUUCGGAAUCACUGGGCGUAAAGCGUACGCAGGCGGAUUUGUAGGUAUCUUGUGAAAUCCCACGGCUCAACCGUGGAACUGCAGGGUAAACCACAAAUCUUGAGACAAGUAGGGGUUAGUGGAACGAUAUGUGGAGCGGUGAAAUGCGUAGAUAUAUAUCGGAACGCCAAUGGCGAAGGCAGCUAACUG